RNAcentral lists this ribosomal RNA (118 nucleotides) under Helianthus annuus (common sunflower). Lineage: Eukaryota; Viridiplantae; Streptophyta; Magnoliopsida; Asterales; Asteraceae. The record is from RNAcentral.
GGUUGCGAUCAUACCAGCACUAAUGCACCGGAUCCCAUCAGAACUCCGCAGUUAAGCGUGCUUGGGCGAGAGUAGUACUAGGAUGGGUGUCCCCUGGGAAGUCCUCGUGUUGCAACCC